AACCUCAGGUGGGGUAACCCGCCUGAGGGGAGAGCGGCGAACGGGUGAGUAACACGUGGGCAACCUGCCCCAGACACUGGGAUAACUCCGGGAAACCGGGGCUAAUACCGGAUACUCCGGCUGGAUCGCAUGGUCCGGUCGGGAAAGCUCCGACGGUCUGGGAUGGGCCCGCGGCCUAUCAGCUUGUUGGUGGGGUAACGGCCUACCAAGGCUAUGACGGGUAGCUGGUCUGAGAGGACUGACAGCCACACUGGAGCUGAGAUACGGUCCAGACUCCUACGGGAGGCAGCAGUGGG
Molecule: unclassified non-coding RNA, 296 nt
Filed under: uncultured bacterium
Lineage: Bacteria
Description: partial contains 16S ribosomal RNA and 16S-23S ribosomal RNA intergenic spacer region
Rfam family: Bacterial small subunit ribosomal RNA
Source: RNAcentral